This is an RNA transcript of Ctenopharyngodon idella (grass carp), 12014 nucleotides long. RefSeq lists it as uncharacterized. Lineage: Eukaryota; Metazoa; Chordata; Actinopteri; Cypriniformes; Xenocyprididae. The transcript is spliced from 14 exons. The record is from RefSeq and is a predicted model, not a curated record.
AGCCAGAAAGACUCGAGCAAACACUAGGACAAAUAAGGAGAUGGAGAGAGGGAGAGAAGGAGGGAGGAAAAGGAGAAAAGUAGGGGAUCCCCAACAUGAAGAACAACAGGAUGGAAGGGAGCAUGUCGUACGGUCAGUUACGGGCAGGAGGAUCAUGCGUCCAGAGAGAGGAGAGGGCUGAGUUCCGGACUGAGGAAAAGCAAGUCCACCGUCAACCACUUUCACAGACAACUUAUUUACUGCCGGGGAAGAGCAGGUUUACGGCUCUGUGAUUCAGCCAUUUGUGGCUGCAAAUGGGACUCAAAGGAAAACAAAGACUUCAAAAGAGCAGGACAGAGUUUGAACAACAACUUUCAGGGGCUGACUGUGGUAACGCUAAUGGGUCCAAAACAUCAUGACAGAGAAGUAAAGAACUCAGAAUGGGAAAUCUAAAGAUUUCAGCAUUGCUGUUGUUUGCAAUGACAGCGUUGCACUGUGGGAUAUCAGAAAGCAUGGACUAUAUUGAGGGAAACUGUAAUGAUGUUAUCAAACUACCUUGUAAAGCUACUAACCAAACAACAACGUACCGUUACGCCAUCUGGUACAAAAUGAAGGACAUUCCUAUCAUCAAGAGAAAAAGUGGAGGGUAUACAAACUAUACUAACUCAACAUCUGUUUCUCUGGGAGAGAAAGAGACCUUGGUGUUACAUAACGCGCAGCCUUCAGACUCUGGAGAAUAUAAAUGCUACCUGGCUGCAGAGGUUGGGGGUCAAAAUGACUAUUCUUUCGUUAGACUGAAUGUCUCAGAAUGUUUGGAUGUGAGCACAGUUUAUCCUUCCACCACGAUCCCUGUCUAUUCUUGUCCUGUUGUAGAAGAAUUAACUGUUCACUGGGCUGUGAUCGGUCUUUCUCUCUUCAGCAUGUCCAAAAUCAUCCUUUGCAUUAUAGCUGUGGGGGUGUGUGAUCGAGUCAUAUUUAGCACAGUGAGAAGAAAACAGGAAAUGAUGGAAGGCAAGACUGGAACAAGGUCAAGCUGCAAAGACUGAGACUCACAAAAAAAUCUGAUGGGGUCUAUUCAGUUUUACGCAUCCAGCAAAGCUAAAACAGUCCAAGCUUGUAAACAUUUACAAUGUUGUUGCCACCGUUAGGUUGGGUUCAUGGUGUUUGUUUCAUUUCUGUGUGGUUUUGCUAUUCUUAAUUACUUUUAUAGAUGGUUUAUUCCUAGGGGAGGAGGGACGACCUAUAAUGGGGGCUGUUUUAUAGCUGCUGAGGGAGAGGAGAGUCAUGGCUGGUUGAAAUUCAUUAGGCCUGUACUCCGGCACAGCGGCACAUGUUGCAUUUUGUUUGUUUUUACAGUUUUCCUACAUUUUUUAAUUGUACAUCCUCUGUAAAUAUUUUUACUGUCAGUAGCAGAAUUACAUACUUUAUUGAUCUCAAGUGUUAAUACACUUUCUUAUAUAUGAAUAAAUUAUGAAUACUGUUGAUAAGAUAUGCAUAAAUAUGCAGGCAAUAGGCAAAAUAUUUAUUUGUAUAGAUAUUCACUUAUCCAUCCUGUUAUGGACAGAUGAAUAUUCAACAGAGAAAUGUUGGCUUAUAGGCCUAAUGGUUUGAAUUCAGUUCAGUUCAUUUCUCUGUAUUAAGAGGAUCUUCAGUAGCUAAAUUGCUGACAGAAUGUUUCAGUUCACUUCUAGUUUAACUAAUACUUUCACUGGAAUUCUUUGUCAAGUCUUAUGUACAAGUUUCACAAUUAUACCAUUGUAGUGAAAAGUCGAACUGAGAGAGACAGAGAGAAAUGAAAAUGAAAGAAAGAAACACAACUAUAGCAGUCCAGGUUUGGGUUAAUUAAAAAAAAAAAAAAAAAAAAAAAAAAAAUCGUGUUACGUAGCCUAUUUACCCCUUUCUCUGUACAUCCUGUUUGUAGACCUAUUUAUGUUUUUUUUUUUUUUACUGUUAUAGCCUACCGUAUAAUAGCCUACUACCAAAGUAAAUGUUCAUUCACAAUAUGUAGGCUACUGGACAACAUUUUACAAAUAUAACUAGAUUAAAUUGUGCAAACAAUAAAAUUAGAAAAUGUUAAAAUGAACGUUGGUGUGUGGUGUUGUUGUUAUUCAAAUCGGCCAAUAAGAUCGCUUCUUGCAUUUCCGGUGUGAACUUUCAGUUUUGCAGAAGAGAAAGCGUAAGGAAACAAAACAGUGAUCAUGCUGCACAUCUACUUUUUAAUGCUCCAUCUGGUUUACUUCACAAUAUCAAUUGAGGAGCACCACUGGAUUAAAAUACCAUGUCAAGCUAACACUGAACAAGGUGUAAAGUACAGAAGAAUCACCUGGUACAAGGUUGAAGAGGGUUCUAAUGUGCUGACUGGACUUGUUUCGAAGGAUCUGCUAAAAAACUUUAGAACACUCUUUAAGUUUGCAAAUCAUUCCUAUGAGGUGGGGGAGGACAACGCUCUCCUGGUCCCUGGUCCUGCUGAAGAAGACUGUGGUGUUUACAGAUGCACCCUGUGGCCUCCACUGGGUCAUUACAUUCAGGAAGGAAAUACAGAGUAUUAUUCAGCAGACUGCAUAAAGCCUCAACUGCAAGCAGUAAGCAUUAAGAAAGACACCUUGUCUGCCAAUCAUCAAUUCAUCAUAGUCAUAUGUGUGAUGAGUCUGAUUGCUUGUGUUGUUAUCAUGUUUCUGAACCUCAAAAUGAUUAAGAAAAAUAAUAUUAUGAAAAAACUUGUGCAAACUGAUGAAAGCAUAUAAGUAACUGUUGUUGUUGUUGUUGUUGUUUUUUUUUGCCCUAUAUGUAAAUUUAUUUUGCAUUUCCACUUUAUGUCAAAACAGUUUUUUGUUUAAUGGAACAACAUUUUACAUGGUUAACAAGAAUCUAAAGAUGUUAUAUUUUUAUUAACACUGCUUAUUAAAAAGACUGCAAAUGUAGCAUAUGUGUUAAACCAAUGUAAAUGUUACAGUAAAGUAGCAUUUUUCUUGUUUUUAUUUGUUAACUGAUUUAAGCAAUUAUUAUUAAUAAUCACCUUCUGUGAAAAUUCUUAGUAAACACUGCAAGUUAAUGAUGAUGGAGAUACUGCUUUAAUUUUACUGAGCUGCCGAAAACUCACUCUCAAUACAUAGGCUAAUUUCGAAUUCAUUUUAAUUUGUAUCCGACCAAAAGGGAUGAUAUCGGAGUGGGUGAGUUGUUUUUAGCAUAUGAAUUCACUUAUAUCAAACUGCCAAAGUCACGUGAUUUCAGUAAAGGAGGCUUCUUUAUGUCAUAAGUGUUUCUAAAUUUCAAUGGUUCACCACUGGGGGGCGUGACUUUGGAAGUUUAAUACAGGCUCCAAACCACUGAUUCAAAACAAAAGAUUUGUAAAGCUUCAAAGCUUCAUAAAGCAAUGUUUUGAAAUGGCCUAUCACUAGAUAUUGUUGAAUAAAGUCGCACAAAAAGUAUUCUCGUCGCUUCAUAACAUUAAGGUUGAACCACUGCGGUCACAUGAACUGUUUUAAAUAUGUCUUUAAUAGCUUUCUGGGUAUCUGAAUCUGUUCAUUAUUUCACUGGCAAUGCAGACCCCACUGAGCCAUCGGAUUUUAUCAAAAAAAAUUUGACCCCCUCACCCCAAAAUAUUUUUUCGUUGCCUCAGGGCAACGUUGUGCAACAAUGGUACAGAAUCAUAGAGAAAAUUAUCAUCAAAAUCACAAUUUUUUUUUUUUUUUAAAUGUCAAGAAAUCAUUAAGUAAAAAGGGAAAAACACUUGAAAGACAUUGAUAUAUUGAAUUUGAUACAUGCAUAGGUGUAUGCAAUACACACUUCAUAGUGUGUCAUGUCAUAUAAUGUACUUCAUGUAAUAAGAUUUUACUCCGUACGAAACUUCAAAAAGCAGUUCUUCUCUGCUGUGAAAUAGAGGUGUAUGUUACAAUUUUUGCACAUCACUUUGGGUGUUCCUGCACACCCAGGAACCCUGCAUCUUCCUUUCUUAUUACACAUUAUGGCCAAUGUGAGGUACUGUCAAAAACAUCCUUGAAAAGUACCUCUUAUCACACAACGUUGCCCUGAGGCAACAAAAAGAAAAACUGAAUUUCUGAACAUGCAAAAUAAAAUAAAAAAUCAUAAAACCUGACAAAAGGGUUCUCUACACUUACAUACACACACAUAUUUUUUAUGUACAGUUCAUGUCAUUUUAAAUAAGAUUACUAAAGCAAAUAAUCUUGCCUUCUUCUCACACCAUGUGCUCCUGUGACCAUGUGUCAUAACAGGACGUCCCACCUUUAAAUGGUGCUUGAUAGUGACUCCUACACCUGGACUGUUCUUUGGUACUUUCUCGACCUUUCUAAUUGGUUGUAAUCAUUUAAAUAAAAAUUUCCAUUGCCUAAGGGCAACGCUGUGCUGUAGAGGGUUAAUGACAGAAUUUUUUAUUUUUGGGUGAACUAACCCUUUAACUGCUAUGCACUAUUUAGUGAUUCGUGAAUGGAUUCGUGAGUGAACGAUUUUGUACAGAUUCACAGCUUUGCACCAUUCCGUUACCACUAGCUCACAGGUUACGCGCGUGUUGGGUAUUGACAGUGUAAUGGGCUAUAUGCACGGAGCGUUCUUUAGAACUUCCGCAAUAAUAUAAGAUAGCUCGAAAACUUCCGGUGAUAUGUAAUUUGCUGGUGUGUUGAGCAUCAGUAGUGUAGGCCUACUUAUUUUAUAAUCAGAAUAUAGUCACUUAAAUAGCAUAGCAUUAGCAUUAAUUUAGUUAUUCAAACGUAAGACAGCAUAGAAAAUAAAUAAAUAAAAAAGUACCUCAGUGUUCCUCCUCGGCUAAAUUCAAUUCGACCAACAGUUUUCACACUUUCGUUUGAAAAAAAAAGCGUCAAAAAUUAAAUAUUUAUAGUGGACUUUAGAAUAAAUUGAAUAAAAUGUGUUUUUACAAGUGUGCCGAAAUCAUGAUCUUGCGCUGCACUGACUGACAAAGGGAAAGUUGUUUUUCAUACUUUUCAGUACUUCAUACUUCACAUUGACAAAAUGUAAAUGUAGUUAUUUUAUAAAGUUUAAUAUUUAGUCAAAACGAAGUUAAAAACGAUUAGAGGAAAUGGCUGAUAUAUGCGCAAAUAAAUGCUACUUUGCUGCCACCUGCUGGUUAUAGUGGUAAUUAUUGUCUUUUUUUUAAUUUUUUAAUAAGUGUUAUCUAUCAAAUGUUGAAUUUCCUACAUUUUGUUUGUUUCCAACAAUCCAACCAUCUCCAUUGACUGUCAUUUCUGACUUAUAACAAAAAACAGAACAAUGUCUAAAAGCUGCUAUGUGACAAUGUGUACAGAAAACAAGCUAAAAAAAACAGAACCAAAAACCCAGAAGUUUUUAUAAGCUGUUGACCCAAAAAAAAUGGAUACAGGCGAUUGAGACAGAGCGCGACAUGUCAUAUUACUAUGAGAACUACGCCCACUGGAGGGGAACGUAAUCAGCAACAGGAAAUAUAAUAUAUAAAACUGACAUUUGGAUAUUUGACUUAACAGUGACAAAAUGUAGGCUUACUGAGGCAUGCUGAGUGUCAGGAUCCCAAAAUUUACCCAUUCUUCCUGCUGAUGCUUUACGUCUUAUUGCCUGUAUCCACUUUUGUCUCCUUAAAGGCUGGCUUUUACGGUUCGGUAGCUUAUAAAAACUUAGUUCUGGGUUUUUUAGCUUGUUUGCUGUACACCUAGUCACACAGCAGCUUUAAGGCAUUGUUCUGUUUUUUGUUAUAAGUCAGAAAUAAUAAGGAGGCAGCCUCACGCAAUGUCAAUGGAGACGGUUGGAUUGCCCUAACCCUAACCCUAACCCUAACGUCACAGAAUGGGUACAGGAGGCUCGGAGUUCGAUUUUACCUAUAAAUGUAUGCAUAGUAUUUUUCUAUACUACUGCAAUAUACGAGUUAGAUUUGGUACAUUAUUAUGAUCAAAAUGACAUUGUACUUCAACAAAAAUACUUUACAGCUCCCUUUAUCAGUCCAUUCAAAUGUUUCAAAUAGACACAAUAUACAUUAUAUUUAACGUAAAAGACCGGCAGUAGCUUAUAAUGAUACUACAGUAAAUGAAUGCGUAUUAAUACAAAGAGUAAACCAGGGGGAAAAAAGACGAAGGCGCCUCCUUGAUUGUCUCGUUAAGAUGACGCUGAAGUGCGUUCCAAAAAAAGAGUUUUUUUGACCCCUACAACCUUCAUCCCUUUGAAGCUCUCACUCCAGAGGGUAAACCCUUUGAAGGGAUGAGGGCAUAGGGAUGAGCCCUUCCGAAUGGAACGCAAGGUCGCUUGAAAGCCUAUGCAUUUUUCCCAUAGACUUUUGGAAAAUCGAAAAAAAUAAGCUCUGUGUUUAACAAAGGGUUAUGACACUUACACGUUUUGUCUAUCAAGAUAAUCUUUACAAGUUAACACAACAUUUAUACAUUUUGAAGCCUAAAUAAAGUCGUCAGAUAUAAAAAGCUAACAGCAGGCUAAAAACAGACUACAGCACACCAUGGUCACGGAUCAACGUCACCACCACCAAGCUUCCUCAAACUUUACUUAAAAAACAACUUUAUUUCAAAACAUGUUUGCUGAUUGUGAUCUCUGCUGUGUAUGAAUGUGGUAUGUGUUAUGCCACUUUUUCAAUUGUGUCCAAUUUUCCAGUUUAUCACGAUGACGUUUAAAGUCCCCACCAAAGGAAGUAGUCCCUUUUAGCAACUUGUUAGCAACUGCCGUUUUUAAGACACAAUAAAGGUUUAAAAAAAUAACAAGCGGGUUAUAACUGGUGUGUUUUAUGUCAUAGAUCAAAACAUUAAAAUAUUUAGAGGCUUUGUUAACCACAGACCUUAUUUCAGGUGAUUUAGCAAAAACCCAUUUAAAAAACCCAUAGACUUUAGGGCGAUGGAACCGGAAGUCCUAAAAUGCUAACUCGCUUCUGGGUUUUGCAUACAAAACACGAUCAUAACAUGAUUUUUCCCUCAACGUGGCUCAGAGGCAAAUUAGGCUACCUUUUCUUCACCGACUGUUGUUGCUAAAGGAUGUUACUUUAGAAAGACGAGUAAACCAUUUGGUUUCAUAAUCCUGUAAAUCUGAAUUACCCGAAAAUCACAGUACCUUCAGUUCACACAAAUAUUUACACAAUUAAAUAUAUAAUACUUAACUACAGAUAUUGUCCACUUGUGUUUACUGUUACUGUACUGUAGCCUAUAUGAGGGAGAAAUGUUCAGCUUCUUUUAAUUUUUUUAAUCUGAUGUCAAAAUGAAAGUGUUUUUUAAUUAUUUGAGUUACAUACUUUGCAAUGAAACAAAGCUGUUAAGAUGAUCCUGAACGUGUUUGAAAAAAGAUAGCAUUUCUAAACCCACACAGAUGUUUCUGAGGAGAUUUCUCAGUAAAUGAUACUUAAGAACUGUGGGAAGCAGCCAAGUACCAACUUCAGAAGAACCACGAGCAUCUCGCAUUUCACCGUACAAUGAUGAUUCGCUUGAUAGUGUUGGUGUUGAGCCUUAGUAUGGUAGUCGGCAAAGAUGAACUCACCUUCGUCCCCGCAGAUUGUGGAGGUGACAUAAUAUUGAACUGUACCCUUCAAAACAGUGUGAACUACACCUCUGUUACGUGGUACAAGUGCUACAAUAACAGCAAUUUCAAAAUCCUCAGAAAGUCAGAAAAUGCCAUCCAAACUGAUAAGCACAGUGAUUCUGUGUCAAUGGAUAAAAACACAUCUUUGGUCUUAAGGAAAGUUGCUCCUUCAGAUUCUGGGAUCUACAAGUGUUUAAUCAGAGCCAGGGCUGGAGGAAAGAACACUGAAUUGCAGUUUAGACUGAAUAUAUCAGAUUGUGUGUCAACACCUUCACCCAUUAACUUUGAUUUCUCCAACACUACGUUUAUUAAUGGAUCGUGGGCAAACAUUAGCAUCCCUUUGACUCAUGGGGAUGAUGAUUCAGAGCUAUUUGUCUUUUGGGGUUGGGUAGGAGUAACUGUGAGCAAACUUGUCCUCAGUGCUGUGUGCAUAUGGGUUUUCAAUGAGCUCAGAGAACGUAGAAGAAGAAGACAGACUUAAGGCCAGCCAUUGUUUAUCAUCACUUUCUGUGUUUGUUUUCAUAUCGUCUAUAUAGACUUUCCUUACAUUCUGGAACUGUUGGAUGAACCAUUGGAUGGUUUAGUCAUUUAUCAUUUUAAUAAUUAACCUGUUAAUUUGUCUGUGAAUUAUACAUUUAAGGAAACCGUCAUGAUGGAACUGCACCCUAAAAAAAAUGCUGGAUUGUUUCAACCCAAAUUUGGGUCAAAUAUGGACAAACCUAGCUGUUGGGUUAUUUUUUAAAUUACAUUUUUAACCCAACGGUUGGGUUUGUCCAACCGUUGAAACAACCCAGCAUUUUUUUAGAGUGUGUAUUGUUGCUCUAACUAAUCUGUGCUUUAUAUCCAUUACACUUAUUUCCAGAAAUGACAAUGCUGUCAUUAUUUACUCAACCAUAUAUUGUUCCAAACCUGUAUGCUGAUUAGGUAUAAAAGAACAGAGUUCUGUCAGACAAAAGCAAAAGCACCAUAGUGGUUAGUAUUUCUGUAUAUUCCAAUACUUCUGAAGCCUCAUAUGAUAGCUUUAUGCGAUGGACAGACUGAUAUUUAAGUCAUUAUUCACUCUUUAAAAGGAUAGUUCACCCAAAAAUGAAAAUUAUCCCAUGAUGUCCCGUAAAAGCGCAUCCAUCCGUCAUAAAAGUAAUCCAUACGGCUCCAGGGGGUCAAUAAAGGCCUUUUGAAACAAAGUGAUGCAUUUUUGUAAGAAAAAUAUCCAUGAUUAUUUUUAAACUGUAAUCACCAGCGUCCAGUAACCGCCAUUCGCGCUUUCAUGAGAGAGUCGAGUUCCGGCAUAUGAAGUAGGAUGUAGGAGUAGCGUAAACUUAGGUUCAAACAAAUAGGUCUGAUCAACAAGCCCUUUCAAGACAUUUCUCUUUAAAAAUUCUCUAUUUUGACUUAAGUCGUGACUAGUGUUUUGUUUUGCUCUAUCCUCUGCGCUUCCGUGUUUGUCAAUACGGUCAUGCAUCGGGUCAGAGUUCACUCUUCCGCCGGAACUAGACUUGUGUACGGCUGUUAGCGGAAGCCAGUUAUUAUAGUUUAUAAAGUUAUAAAUAUGGAUAUUUUUCUUACAAAAACACAUUCCUUCACUCUAGAAGGCCUUUAUUAACCCCCUUGAGUCAUAUGGAUUACUUUUAUGAUGGAUGUAUGUUUUUUUUUAGGCUUCAAAAAAAAAAAAAAAAAAGGUACCAUUCACUCCCAUUAUAAAGCUUGGAAGAGCCAGGAUAUUUUUUUUUUAAUAUAACUCCAACUGUGUUUGGCUGGAAGAAGAAAGACAUAUACACCUAGGAUGGCUUGAGGGUGAGUAAAUUAUGGGAUAAUUUUCGUUUUUGGGUGAACUAUCCCUUUAAUCAAAUAAUUAAUACAAAUAAGCAUUAUUUAUUUGGAAUGACAAGAGAGGGUGAGUAAAUAAUGGAAGAACAUUUUUAAAUCAUAGGUAAACUAUUGAGAGUAAAAAGUGUUAUCACACAUAACUUUAUCCACAUGUAAUACACUGUAAAUGAAAAAUACAGAAAAGGUCUGUACUCUAAAACACUUUACUCGUUACACACAGGAGAUGACAAACGUUUCGGCUCUUCGCCUUCGUCAGUGUGACAAUUUCACACACUCUCAAUAAUAAUAUAGAAAAUACACUGCAAGUCUUCAGGUGAUCAUGAUCAUAAUUAAGUAAAAAGGACAAUCAGAUGAUCAGUCCACAGACUCCAGUUUAAGUCCACCUGGAAAGACAAAUCAUAAUUAAAAACAAUACUGUGAACAGUUACACAUCAGGCAAACUACACUGUAAAUGGAAAAAAAAAAGAAAAAGAAAAAAAAAAACUAUUCAUUCCAGAUUUAUACCAGUGUUAUAUUAGUAUGUAUAUACUAUUAGUAUUUAUUACUAUUUUGAAUUAGCUCUUUUUAGUUUAAGUUUGAGCAAUUUUAUUAUGCUUUUGUCAUUAUUAUUUUUUUAAUAUAAUAUUUUGUUAAAUAUUUUAAAAUGUUUUGUAUAUUUAAAUUUAUAUUUAUUAUUUCAGUUUUAUUCAUUUUAUUUUAAUUUACGAAAACAAUUUGUAAUAGUUUUAGUUAAAAAUAACUCUGCUUCUUAUUUAAAUAUAUUAUAUUAAUACAUUUGUAUCUGUAAUACUGCUUUAAAUGAACCAGUAGUAUAGGGUUAAUGACCUAGAUUAGCAUUUAUAAAUGCAUGUGUUUGAUUAUGUUUGUGUGGGCGUUGUAGUGUGUGUUGAUUUACUAAAAAAAAAAAAAGUAAUCCUAACAUCAAAAGCACCUCUAGUACAGCUCUAGGCAAUAACUGAGUUAGUUUGUCUGUUCCAGCUUGAUAUCAUUGCACACCAGACGCUCUAUUUGAUGUGCUGAGAGGAUGAGCCCCACCACAAAUCUAUAGCCUACUGCUCCAGAAAAUGUUAAAAAAUUACACCUGAAAACUUUCUGUUCCAGUAUCUUACACCUCAAUUGAGGCCACUUCUGAGGGCAUUAAAACCCAGGACCAAUCCACCUAAAUCCACCUGCUCAGUUUCUUUCCCCAGGCCAUAUCUAUCACUAUCGGAAACAAGGAUUUAGCUGCCAUUACUCUCCGAGACCAAUGCCAUCUGCAGAACACUCUAGUUAAAGGAAUAUUACAGGUUUAAUACAAGCUCUACUGACAGCAUUUGCUUUUAUCGUUUCUUUUGUUUGUUUUUAGGUCUCUGUGUUUUGCACCAGUUGUUGUAAAUGUCAUACUUGGCAAAAUCUAAACCUUUAACCGCCAAUAUUUUCAGCAGCAAGAGAGAAGUUGUUGGCCAGUAGAUGGCAGCAAAUUCAGUGCCUUAAAUUCCUUCGAUUAAUGACGUGAAUGUGAAAUUACUCUAUAGCUCCCUCUUGUGUUGAAUGUUUGUGGACACAAAUUACAAUUGACUUGCUUAAUGUGCGUUGCUGUCCUUAUUGUGAAGAAUUCAUCGGUGGAUGUUACUGCAAAGUAAAAAAGAAAACAGUUUUUGUAAUCUUUACACAUAGUACAUAUGAAAGACCGUCGCCUGAAACAGCUUUUCUUUUGACAUCACUCCUGUUGGUGGCUAUUAGAUAAUUUAACCAAUAGCCAUAAAGCUAUUCAGUUGUUUUUAGCAAACCAACAUUCGUUUUGGCUCUAUUCAGAUAUGUAAGUUUUCACAAUCCAGUUGUUUCCCACAACAUAUUUUCCACAUUUAAUUGGGAUAGUUCUUCUGUUACACACCAGCAACUGAGAAUUGUGCACAAUGACUUAGUUCCACGGAGCUCAAACACAGAAAGGAACAAAGAAUUUAAUUUGAUGUUUGCUUAAUUCUAAAGAGUAAAAAAGAUUUCAGAUCCUGCAUCCUUUGAAGGGCGAAUGCGUCACAGGCUGUCCCAAUUAGAACGCAGCCUACAAAUGCGUCCUUCGUUUCCUAAAAUAAGGUCUGUGGCAAACAUAAGUUAACGAUACAUGGACGUUUUGUUCUACAACGUAAAUUACAAACACACACUCAGACACUCUUUAUCUAACUUAUUAAAACAUACUUUAAACAACAACAACAACGGCUUCAAAAUCCACAUUUUCGAUAUGGGUGUGUAAACAAAAUGUCCAAGUAUUGUCAACUUAUGGUUACCACAGUCCAUACUUUACUCGGCUAAACUGAAAAACCCCAUUAUAAAAACCCAUAGGAAAAUCUCAAAGGAACCACUGGUAAAUAAGUCUUCCGUGUUUUGACGUCAUUCAUGCGCCACUCUAUUGGGGCACAGCUAAUGUUUGGCUGUUUUAUUUGGAACAAUUAGAAAAUUUUAUUAAAGAAUAAGACUCUGUUUUAUGAUAGUUGGUUCAAUAAUGGUUUAUUUUUGGUGGAGCAGUUGUUUAAUAAACAAGGUCUUUUGUUCAGUACUCAGAAUUUCUUUGCAAAUACCAAAUACCAAUAACCCCAAAAGAAUUUGCUACAGUUAUGGGAGCUAUCCCCUCUGGUUUAUGUAUGCUUUUUAAAAACUGUAAUUAUUCCUCAGUAUCUACUGCAUCCUUUUCUAAACCUUGUGAUACUCCUGUUGGUCAAAUU